AUAAGAGAGCAUCGUAGGACACUAACACCUGUCCCACAGCAGUUCUCUGUGUUCAACACAAUUUGGAAACCAUGGCUGCAGCCUUGCUGUGGGACCUUCCCCUUCUGUGGGUGUGACAAGGAAGAUGACAUCCUUCCCAUGGCUCCCUGAGACCAUGCGGACCACGUGUUACCCACCACAAACUUACUGUUACAAUGGUCAUAGGAGCAGAGCUCACCUGACUGAUUCAUUCCAUUUGGGAUAAAAACUGAUGGCCCAACCCAUUGUUUUAUCCUCAGAAAUCAGUUCUUUCAAGAGCUCGGUGAAAUUAAAGUGGGCCCAUAUAACAGUGAACCUGGAGGGGAGCAUUUGUUGUAUAAUUUUUUUCUAGUAUAUAAUUGUGCCAUUGCCCAAGGAAAAGAGCAAAUCAAGGUGACUUCAGCAGAUUCUUGUAGAGCUUUUGUUCCUAGAAUUCAUGGAAGCAUCAGGUCCAAUGUCAUAAGUUAGAAACUUCUGCUUGCAGAUUCUAUACCCAGGCAUGCUAGCUUUCUAAUAAAUCAUGAU
RNAcentral lists this long non-coding RNA (543 nucleotides) under Homo sapiens (human). Its description in RNAcentral is "HSALNT0279711". The record is from RNAcentral. Lineage: Eukaryota; Metazoa; Chordata; Mammalia; Primates; Hominidae.